Molecule: ribosomal RNA, 163 nt
Filed under: Tremellaceae sp.
Lineage: Eukaryota; Fungi; Basidiomycota; Tremellomycetes; Tremellales; Tremellaceae
Description: partial large subunit ribosomal RNA
Rfam family: Eukaryotic large subunit ribosomal RNA
Source: RNAcentral
CGGCAACAGCUCAAAUUUGAAAUCUGCCCGCAAGGGCCGAGUUGUAAUUUGUAGAGGCGUUUUCCGCGCCGGUCCGCGUCCAAGUCCCUUGGAACAGGGUAUCAAAGAGGGUGACAAUCCCGUGCUUGACGCGACCGCCGGUGCUAUGUGAUACGUCUUCUAC